RNAcentral lists this ribosomal RNA (605 nucleotides) under uncultured Burkholderia sp. RNAcentral describes it as "bacterial SSU rRNA". It matches the Rfam family "Bacterial small subunit ribosomal RNA", at positions 114 to 715 of the family's 1533-position model. The record is from RNAcentral. Lineage: Bacteria; Pseudomonadati; Pseudomonadota; Betaproteobacteria; Burkholderiales; Burkholderiaceae.
UACAUCGGAACAUGUCCUGUAGUGGGGGAUAGCCCGGCGAAAGCCGGAUUAAUACCGCAUACGAUCUGAGGAUGAAAGCGGGGGACCUUCGGGCCUCGCGCUAUAGGGUUGGCCGAUGGCUGAUUAGCUAGUUGGUGGGGUAAAGGCCUACCAAGGCGACGAUCAGUAGCUGGUCUGAGAGGACGACCAGCCACACUGGGACUGAGACACGGCCCAGACUCCUACGGGAGGCAGCAGUGGGGAAUUUUGGACAAUGGGCGAAAGCCUGAUCCAGCAAUGCCGCGUGUGUGAAGAAGGCCUUCGGGUUGUAAAGCACUUUUGUCCGGAAAGAAAUCCUUGGUUCUAAUAUAGCCGGGGGAUGACGGUACCGGAAGAAUAAGCACCGGCUAACUACGUGCCAGCAGCCGCGGUAAUACGUAGGGUGCAAGCGUUAAUCGGAAUUACUGGGCGUAAAGCGUGCGCAGGCGGUUUGCUAAGACCGAUGUGAAAUCCCCGGGCUCAACCUGGGAACUGCAUUGGUGACUGGCANGCUAGAGUAUGGCAGAGGGGGGUAGAAUUCCACGUGUAGCAGUGAUAUGCGUAGAGAUGUGGAGGAAUACCNAUGG